Non-coding RNA from Pelobates cultripes (western spadefoot toad), 220 nucleotides. Lineage: Eukaryota; Metazoa; Chordata; Amphibia; Anura; Pelobatidae. The record is from the annotation of a GenBank genome assembly.
AUUUUCAUUGCCCAUAACAGGCUUUUUGACAUUCCAAUUAACCAUCACAAAUUUUAUGGAAGAAAUGAAGAAAAGUAUAGUGGAGUCCCUGUACUCCGCUGUAAAAAUAAGCGUACACCUCUUCCUUUUUUUUUUUUGACAAUCUUUCUUUUAUUAAUACUGCAAGUGAUAACAUACAGAAAAAAGAAACUGAGUUAAUGCAUACGGUUGCAAAACAGAG